Non-coding RNA from Rana temporaria (common frog), 419 nucleotides. NCBI's taxonomy places the organism in Eukaryota, Metazoa, Chordata, Amphibia, Anura, Ranidae. The record is from the annotation of a RefSeq genome assembly.
UCACCAUUAACGAUCAGUGACUGUGACAGUCCAGACACACCAAGAUGCUUCCUCCGACAUAUCUGCUCUGUGUCUUCUAUCUUUACAUACAAGCUUCCAGAGGAGACAUAGUGAUGACUCAGACUCCGAAUUCUAUUUCUAAGUCACCGGGAGACUCAGUCACCAUCACAUGUACAUCUAGCCAAAGCCUCUUAUACAGUGCAGAUGGGAAGGAUUACUUACACUGGUACCAGCAGAGACCAGGACAACCUCCAACACUGAUUAUCACCUUGGCCAGAACUCGCGAGGCCGGGAUUCCCGAUCGGAUCAGCGGAUCUGGAUCUGGGUCUGAUUUCACUCUCACAAUCACCGGGGUAAAAGAAGAAGAUGCAGCCACUUAUUACUGUCAGCAGAGUAGGAGCUUACCUCUCACACAGUGA